This 25-nucleotide non-coding RNA is filed under the name Arabidopsis thaliana (thale cress). Lineage: Eukaryota; Viridiplantae; Streptophyta; Magnoliopsida; Brassicales; Brassicaceae. The record is from RNAcentral.
GGGUGAUGAACGAAAUGUGAACCCU